Small nucleolar RNA from Malania oleifera, 107 nucleotides. The record is from RefSeq and is a predicted model, not a curated record. Lineage: Eukaryota; Viridiplantae; Streptophyta; Magnoliopsida; Santalales; Ximeniaceae.
CCUUGAUGAUUAGGGCAUUUAUGUAGAAGGUCCUUAAAGCGUUCCCAAGUCUCAAAAAUUUAUUUCCCAUCUAUCUGUGUGAAAAUAGUGAUUGCCUUCCUUAGCUA